GCCGUUCAGAUGUUAUCCCGCAAACCUGUUUUCGAGAGUUGUCAGAAAAUUUGCCUUUGAGAUGGCAGUGCACUUCAGCUGCCCAUUCCCUGCAUCCUGGUCGAGGAAGAGCAUGGCGGGGAAGGACUGGUUCACCUCCUUCAUGGAGCGCAGUGGCAGCCUCUCCCUUCGGCGUCCAGAGGCCACUAGCCAACAACGGUUGUCAAAUUUCAACCAAAGAAAUGUCAACUUGUUCCACCAAAAUUUAAAGACGGUGCUGGACCGGCACCAGUUCCAGGCCAAGGACAUUUGGAACAUUGAUGAAACCGGGGUCACCACUGUCCAGGUGCCAGACCGUGUCGUCGCCCAGAUGGGGCAGAAGCAGGUCGGGUCAGUGACCUCAGCGGAGAGGGGGACCCUGGUCACAGUUGCCCUGGCAGGAAAUGCGCAAGGUGACCUUGUUCCGCCAUUCUUCAUCUUCCCCCGUAAGCGGUUCAAAGACCACUUCCUGAGGGGUGGACCCGUUGGCUAUGCUGGCACCGCCAACCCAACUGGAUGGAUGAAGGAGCCAGACUUCCUCCUGUACCUGGCCCACUUCACCAGUCACACCCGUGUGUCCAAGGAGUCGAAGCUGCUCCUCCUGCUGGACAAUCACCCGUCCCACCUGUCAAUUGCAGCAAUUGAUUACUGCAGAGCCAAUGGCAUAGUGCUGCUAUCAUUCCCUCCCACUGCACCCACAGGUUGCAGCCAAUGGACAUUAGUGUCUUCGGCCCCCUAAAGGGGUACGUAAACAGUGCGGCGGACAGGUGGAUGAGGAGCCACCCAGGGAUAAACAUCUCAAUUUAUGAUGUGCCCUCCAUCGUUGCUGAAGCCUUUCCAAAGGCUGCAACAGUGAACAACAUUACCUCCGGGUUCUCAAGUCCAGGGUCUGGCCUUUUAACCCCUCUGCAUUUGAGGAAAAGGACUUCGCCGGAGCCUAUUCAACAGACCGUCCUCCUCCCCAGGCUUCGGGUGACGAGGUCAGCGCUUCUCCAGGUGCCACUUCAGGCAUGGAUGUACCUGAUCGAGCUGCCGGGCCUGAAGAAGCUGCCGGGCCUGAUCGAGCUGCCGGGCCUAACGAAGCUGCCGGGCCUGACGAAGCUGCCGGGCCUGACGAAGCUGUCCGGCCUGAGGGAGAGGCCGCUGAAUUCAGCCCGGACAUCGUCCGGCCUUACCCUAAGGCCGGACCUAGAAAGAUCACAAAGAGAAGAGGGAGAAAGAGGACAACUGCUAUACUUACGGACACCCCGGUGAGGUCUGCUUUAGAGGCGGAAAAGCAGGGAACUGUGAAGCAGCGUUGUCCCGCCAAGCAGCCUCCCUCCUCUCGGGCUCCCAAGAAGAGGCUGUUCUCGCCCGCUCCUGAUGCCGCCCCCCUUGCUGGAGUCACACCUGUUGCCACCUCAGCUGCUCCUCCCACCAUCACCUGGCCCGCUGAUGGAGUCAGCCCCACCUUAGGCCUAGUGUGUCCUGUUCCGGAGGCAGCAGAGUUCACCACUAUUGCUGCCUCUACUUCUCCAAUUUAUUUAGGCCUAUCCAGCGAGGACGUCAGCUGCCUCGUGUGCUGCGAGCUCUUCAGCGCCUCGAUGCCUGGGGAAGAGUGGGUCCAGUGUGUCUUUUGUUACAAGUGGUCGCAUGAGGCUUGCACCGACGGGAGUGCACACAACCUGUGUCACCUGUGUGACAAAGAAUAAAAAUAUUCAGCCUACUAUACUGUCCAUGUGUCUUCACUAGUUUGCAGUGGAAAUACUGUAAAUGUAGGCCUACAGCACAAUUCACUUAACAUUAUAGACUGAUUAACUAACUAACUAUGAGGCCUGGGUUAGGCUAUGAGUGG
Molecule: long non-coding RNA, 1852 nt
Organism: Gadus morhua (Atlantic cod)
Lineage: Eukaryota; Metazoa; Chordata; Actinopteri; Gadiformes; Gadidae
Source: Ensembl